GGGGAAUAUUGCACAAUGGGCGAAAGCCUGAUGCAGCGACGCCGCGUGGGGGAUGAAGGCCUUCGGGUUGUAAACCCCUUUCAGCAGGGAAGAAGCGAAAGUGACGGUACCUGCAGAAGAAGCGCCGGCUAACUACGUGCCAGCAGCCGCGGUAAUACGUAGGGCGCAAGCGUUGUCCGGAAUUAUUGGGCGUAAAGAGCUCGUAGGCGGUUUGUCGCGUCUGCUGUGAAAACCCGAGGCUCAACCUCGGGCCUGCAGUGGGUACGGGCAGACUAGAGUGCGGUAGGGGAGACUGGAAUUCCUGGUGUAGCGGUGGAAUGCGCAGAUAUCAGGAGGAACACCGAUGGCGAAGGCAGGUCUCUGGGCCGCAACUGACGCUGAGGAGCGAAAGCAUGGGGAGCGAAC
This 405-nucleotide ribosomal RNA is filed under the name uncultured bacterium. Its description in RNAcentral is "bacterial SSU rRNA". It matches the Rfam family "Bacterial small subunit ribosomal RNA", at positions 356 to 773 of the family's 1533-position model. The record is from RNAcentral.